Molecule: ribosomal RNA, 446 nt
Filed under: Mactra cumingii
Lineage: Eukaryota; Metazoa; Mollusca; Bivalvia; Venerida; Mactridae
Description: partial 16S ribosomal RNA
Rfam family: Bacterial large subunit ribosomal RNA
Source: RNAcentral
GUCUCUUCGAUAAACAAUAUGAAGAGUCGGCCCUGCCCAGUGGCGUCGUGCUAAACGGUCGCAACGAAUAGUUGUGCUAAGGUAGCGCAAUCAAUUGUCCUUUAAUUGGGGAAAGGAAUGAAAGGGUUGACGAGGGGAAAACUGUCUUUGUAGUAUAAUUUGAAGUUUUCUUUUAUGUGAAAAGACUUAGAUUUUGGAAUAAGAAGAGAAGACCCCGGCGAGCUUGUUAAGGGUUAUUAGGUUAAAAUAAUUAUUGAGUUUUGUUGGGGCAACGCAAAGGGAAAAUUACUCCUUUGAAUAAAAUACAGAUCCACUUAGAGUGAAUAAAGCAAAAGCUACCGCGGGGAUAACAGCGCAAUUUUUUCAGAGAGUUCAUAUCGAAGAGGAAGUUUGCGACCUCGAUGUUGGAUUAAAGUUUCCUCUUGGUGCAGGGGCUAAGAAGGUAG